Long non-coding RNA from Camelus dromedarius (Arabian camel), 2366 nucleotides. RefSeq lists it as uncharacterized. The transcript is spliced from 3 exons. NCBI's taxonomy places the organism in Eukaryota, Metazoa, Chordata, Mammalia, Artiodactyla, Camelidae. The record is from RefSeq and is a predicted model, not a curated record.
GCCGUGGGUAGUGGAUGAAAAUCUUCUGGAUGAUGCUGCGAGGCCGGAAGACCUCCUUGGGGAAGAUGUCGAGCAGCAGGUUGUAGACAGCCAGGUCCCGCUCGACGCCGUACUCCCGCAUCUUGCGCAGAGCCAGGUGUGCACUUGGGGGUGCCUAUUUUACAGAUGAGGAAACCGAGGCCCAGAGAGAUGAAACACGAUGCCUGGUGUCUGUCACACAGCUACAGGCAGCAGAGCUAAGAUGGGAGCCCCUGCUCUCAUCUCUCUGCUCUGCUGCAUCCAGUAGCCAUCCUGAUGUCCUGCUGAGAUGUGUAGCCAUCAUCCUCUCCAUGGCCAUCAGCACUCUCAGCGGGUACAACCUGCCCUCCGUGGAGACAAUCAACAUCAGCCUCACUCUGUAAGGGUCAGCGAGGGCCCUAGUCGACAUUCUCCACUUCACCCCUACUCUACACUCCCGUGGGGUGAGGAGUUGACAGCACUGGGAAGAGGGGUGGAUACUGCUGAAGGUGUUCCAGGGAGGAAGAGACCCUUCCAGGAAAGUUCUCGGAGUGACGCUGCCCCAGCUAAGGAGCCUCCUGGGCAAGUCUCUCUCUACCCCAGCCCAGGCAGAGCCCAGACCAGGGCCUUGACCCCUGCAGGCCGGGCCCCUAGCUGCCCUGUCCAGAGCGGUCCAGAGUUGCUCCCCUCAUCCCACAGACUGCAGCUGAUGACUCUGGUGACCUGCUCUAUGGUCGAUGGGGUCCAGCUGGGUGGGACAUGACAUUCACUCAAUCCUCUGCCUACUUCUGAACCCUGUUCCCUUCAGACCUGGUGGUGAUUUUCCACAAUGGAAUCAGAUGUUCCUGUGUUACCAUUCGGCUUCUCUCUUCAGCUUCUGCUGCUUCUGGAAAGGUCCCUGGAGACACUACCUCUCCCACCACCCUACCUGCAUGUGUGGAACAUCUCUUGUGGGCUUGGUUACCAUGUGCUCCAAGAGGACAGGGAUAUUUUGUUCGUUUGUUUGAUAUGGUGUCCCCAGCAUUAGAGACAGAGCCUGGAACAUGGUAGGUGCUCAAUAGAUGUUAGUUAUUAAAGGUAGUGAAUAUUCCUGAAGCUCACCCCAACUUUUAAAGCCUGCCAACAGUCCCUUGUGACAGCCCCAUGCAUGCCUGCCUUAUGGGGACUGCCUUAUGCAUGCCUGACUAAUUACUCUGCCACUGCCCUCCCCCUGCGGACAGACCGCAGUGCCUUUCAGACUUCUAUGUCCAUUUGUGCCUGCUCACAGCCCUUGGUCAAUUUUGAGCCCCUCACUAGUGGCCUCACUGAAUGGCAUGGCCAUGGCUGUAGUCUGUGUAGCCAGCAUCAGUGUGAUGCUGUUCUAAUAUUUGAGGGGUGAUGACCUUGAUUAUGCUGGUCCUGAACAUCCUUAACAGGCUCUAGAUGUGCCGCAUCACACGGUCCAGAGACUGAGGUAGGGGAGCCCUCUCAGAGUGCCCCAGCGCAGAGUGUGGAAAGAGACUGUAGAGAUCUGGAGGAGCUUCCUUCCACCCACCAGCAUUCUUAGACCCAGGGCCAAAGUGGGGGAAGUUGUGCAUAGGAGGCUGAGGGUGUGCCCCCCCCACCACAAGAAGGCUCAGAGUCACUCAACAUGCAUUUGUUAUUAUUAUUUUUAAUAGAGGUACUGGGGAUUGAACCCAGGACCUCAUGCACGCUAAGCACGUGCUCUACCGCUGAGCUAUACCACCCCUGCCACAUGCAUUUACUGAGAGCCGCCUUUGCACUAGGCACUGUUCUAAGUGUUGAGGAAUAGCAAUGAGCAACAAAAAGAUUCCUGACCUUGGGGAGCUGGCAUCCUAGUGGGGGAAGACAGAUGAAAGACUCAGGUUCUAUAGAAAUAUUUUUACAACUAUUUUCAGCUUGAAAAAAUUAAGUGCAACUUCAAAACUGUUUAGGAUAUGAUUUUGUGUAUCAUUUUGUCAAUCUCCAUUGACUUGGAACUUAGAACAUAUUACCUUUUGUAUUUAACACUGAUUUUUAGUCCCUUUUUGCUUGUGUGUACAAUUUGAUUCUCUGUGUUCUCAUGUAAUUUAGAGAUUUAGAUUUAUGCCUUCUGUCAUUCUGCCAUCUCAAACAAAGCAUCAAAAUACAUUCAUUAAUUCAACAACUAUUUAUAUGUAUUUUAAAACAAAUAUAUGUUGUGUGCUAGAUCCAGAAGGAAAUAUAAAAUUAAUUUGAAAAACAGAAAUUUAAGUCCUCCAAGUGCUGAGAAUUUGUUUCCAAGAAAGAGCAUAUUUUCAUGAAGUAAAAAUAAAAUGCUAUGUGUGGUUAACAAAACGGCUGAUAUUAAUAAACAGAUUAGGAAUUUUUUAAGUAAAUAUUUUACAGCU